GACAAUGUGGUGUAGUGGUCUGAGCUUUGGACCAUGACUUUGGAGACCAGGGUUUGAAUCCCUGCUUGGCCA
Molecule: non-coding RNA, 72 nt
Organism: Phrynosoma platyrhinos (Desert horned lizard)
Lineage: Eukaryota; Metazoa; Chordata; Lepidosauria; Squamata; Phrynosomatidae
Source: the annotation of a GenBank genome assembly